GACGUAGGGCGCGAGCGUUGUCCGGAUUUAUUGGGCGUAAAGAGCUCGUAGGCGGUUUGUCGCGUCGUUCGUGAAAACUCACAGCUUAACUGUGAGCUUGCGGUCGAUACGGGCAGGCUAGAGUUCGGUAGGGGAGACUGGAAUUCCUGGUGUAGCGGUGAAAUGCGCAGAUAUCAGGAGGAACACCGAUGGCGAAGGCAGCUCGCUGGGACGGUACUGACGCUGAGGCGCGAAAGCGUGGGGAGCAAACAGG
RNAcentral lists this ribosomal RNA (253 nucleotides) under uncultured bacterium. RNAcentral describes it as "partial 16S ribosomal RNA". It matches the Rfam family "Bacterial small subunit ribosomal RNA", at positions 524 to 776 of the family's 1533-position model. The record is from RNAcentral.